RNAcentral lists this ribosomal RNA (301 nucleotides) under uncultured bacterium. RNAcentral describes it as "partial 16S ribosomal RNA". It matches the Rfam family "Bacterial small subunit ribosomal RNA", at positions 509 to 807 of the family's 1533-position model. The record is from RNAcentral.
CAGCCGCCACGGUAAUACGAGGGGUGCAAGCGUUAUUCGGAUUGAUUGGGUGUAAAGGGUGUGCAGACGGCUUAUUAAGUCAUUUGUUAAAUUCUUCGGCCUAACUGAAGGUCUGCAAGUGAUACUGAUGAGCUAGAGGGUGGAAGAGAGAAGUGGGAUUCUCGGAGUAGCGGUAAAAUGCGUAGAUCUCGAGAGGAACACCAAUGGCGAAGGCAGCUUCUUGGUCCAUUCCUGACGUUCAUACACGAAAGCGUGGGGAGCAAACAGGAUUAGAUACCCCCGUAGUCCCUGUCUCUUAUAC